RNAcentral lists this ribosomal RNA (529 nucleotides) under uncultured Alternaria. Its description in RNAcentral is "eukaryotic LSU rRNA". The stretch from base 179 to 332 matches the Rfam family "5.8S ribosomal RNA". The record is from RNAcentral. Lineage: Eukaryota; Fungi; Ascomycota; Dothideomycetes; Pleosporales; Pleosporaceae.
GGAGGGAUCAUUACACAAAUAUGAAGGCGGGCUGGAACCUCUCGGGGUUACAGCCUUGCUGAAUUAUUCACCCUUGUCUUUUGCGUACUUCUUGUUUCCUUGGUGGGUUCGCCCACCACUAGGACAAACAUAAACCUUUUGUAAUUGCAAUCAGCGUCAGUAACAAAUUAAUAAUUACAACUUUCAACAACGGAUCUCUUGGUUCUGGCAUCGAUGAAGAACGCAGCGAAAUGCGAUAAGUAGUGUGAAUUGCAGAAUUCAGUGAAUCAUCGAAUCUUUGAACGCACAUUGCGCCCUUUGGUAUUCCAAAGGGCAUGCCUGUUCGAGCGUCAUUUGUACCCUCAAGCUUUGCUUGGUGUUGGGCGUCUUGUCUCUAGCUUUGCUGGAGACUCGCCUUAAAGUAAUUGGCAGCCGGCCUACUGGUUUCGGAGCGCAGCACAAGUCGCACUCUCUAUCAGCAAAGGUCUAGCAUCCAUUAAGCCUUUUUUUUCAACUUUUGACCUCGGAUCAGGUAGGGAUACCCGCUGAA